RNAcentral lists this ribosomal RNA (302 nucleotides) under uncultured bacterium. RNAcentral describes it as "partial 16S ribosomal RNA". It matches the Rfam family "Bacterial small subunit ribosomal RNA", at positions 508 to 807 of the family's 1533-position model. The record is from RNAcentral.
GCAGUAGCCGCGGGAAUACAGAGGGUGCGAGCGUUAAUCGGAUUUACUGGGCGUAAAGCGUGCGUAGGCGGCUUCUUAAGUCGGAUGUGAAAUCCCUGAGCUUAACUUAGGAAUUGCAUUCGAUACUGGGAAGCUAGAGUAUGGGAGAGGAUGGUAGAAUUCCAGGUGUAGCGGUGAAAUGCGUAGAGAUCUGGAGGAAUACCGAUGGCGAAGGCAGCCAUCUGGCCUAAUACUGACGCUGAGGUACGAAAGCAUGGGGAGCAAACAGGAUUAGAUACCCCCGUAGUCCAUGUCUCUUAUAC